ACAAUGAAGUGAAGGCAAUAACAGGUCUGUGAUGCCCUUAGAUGUUCUGGGCUGCACGCGUGCUACAAUGGAACUCGCACCGAGUCGCGAAACUGAGAAGUUAAGCGAAUCUUGGAAAGUGUUCCGUGACCGGGACAGUUGAUUGCAAUUAUUCAACUCGAACGAGGAAUUCCUUGUAAUCGUGAUUCAUCAUAUCGCGAUGAAUACGUCCCUGCCCUUUGUACACACCGCCCGUCGCUCCUACCGAUUGGGUGAUCCGGUGAAUUACUUGGAACAGCCACGAUGUCCUAUGGAUUUCGCGGUCGUGAAAUGUUGUGAACCUUAUCAUCUAGAGGAAGGAAAAGUCGUAACAAGGUUUCCGUAGGUGAACCUGCAGAAGGAUCAA
RNAcentral lists this ribosomal RNA (385 nucleotides) under uncultured eukaryote. RNAcentral describes it as "bacterial SSU rRNA". It matches the Rfam family "Eukaryotic small subunit ribosomal RNA", at positions 1435 to 1829 of the family's 1831-position model. The record is from RNAcentral.